AUGAUAGAAGCUCUAAAGGAAGACGAGAUCACCGUCCUAAUCGUGACCUUGUGGGCGAUUUGGUCUGCUCGCCGCAAGUUGAUUCAUGAAGGCAUCUUCCAAUCUCCCCAUGCUACUAACGGUUUCAUUUCCAGCUAUCUAUUUGACAUUGAGUUUUUAAAGAAGCCGGCAGUGGCAGUACGUUCGGGAACGGAGCCAAGGCCGACGACAUGGAUCCCUCCUCCGGAUCAUCAUCUAAAAGUGAACGUUGACGCGGCGGUAGCAAGGCACGGUGGUCUUGGAGCAGUAGCAGCGGUGUGCCGCGAUGGGACUGGCAUAUUUCAGGGAGCGUCGGCCCUGAUUUUCAACAACAUUGAUGACCCUGAGGUGUUGGAGUCGCUGGCUAUACGUGAAGCUCUGGCUCUUUCAGAAGAUCUGUACAUUCAGAAAAUUUCGGUGGCUUCCGAUUGCAAGAAAGUGGUAGAGUCAAUCAAGACUGGCACGUCAGCUUCAUAUGGCGCAAUUGUGCGUGAAAUAAGGGACCGAUCUAGGUUUUUUUCUUCCUGUUUAAUUAGUCAUGAGUUUAGAACCUCCAAUGUCGAGGCUCACAAACUUGCAAAGCAUGCUUUAACGCUGGGUACUGGCCGCCAUGCUUGGUUAGGCCAUCCCGAAGAUCUUGUUUUC
This 663-nucleotide ribosomal RNA is filed under the name Triticum aestivum (bread wheat). RNAcentral's name for it is "partial small subunit ribosomal RNA". Lineage: Eukaryota; Viridiplantae; Streptophyta; Magnoliopsida; Poales; Poaceae. The record is from RNAcentral.